This is a long non-coding RNA of Austrofundulus limnaeus, 789 nucleotides long. RefSeq lists it as uncharacterized. The transcript is spliced from 3 exons. The record is from RefSeq and is a predicted model, not a curated record. Lineage: Eukaryota; Metazoa; Chordata; Actinopteri; Cyprinodontiformes; Rivulidae.
UUGAACACUUUUGCUUCGCUUACUUUGCCACAAGGUUGAGGUGAACGAGGCUUGGCGCAGGCCCAAUGAAGAAAUCCAAGAAGUCUGGAAAAACAGGAGGACAGAGGGUGUGGGAAGGAGGCUCAGCUAAUGACCUCGAACUGAAACUGCAGUGAGGGGCGAGGUAGAUGUGCAUCAGCUGUAAACAAAAAACAGAAGAAAGGGAGCUCAGUUCCGUGCAGUCACCUGACAGAUGAGAUGGGCAGCCUACAUUUACAGCGUGGUACACGGUGUUCACCCUCAGUGAUUUAAAAGCCUCCCUGUGCUCACGGUGAGAGCGUCCUUGGCCUCCCAUUGAAGUAUUGCGGUAUUUUCCUCUGACGAGCUGGCCUAAGCAUUUUCACAUCCAAUCCAGCGAGGCGUCGUGACACCCUCAGAGCGUGCACACCGUAAAACGAAACACCAGACAGCCUGCAUCUGUGUGCCGUGCUGACAGGAAAAACAUAGCAGCAUCAGCGGUGUACCCAAAACAUCCAGCUUCGGCUCCUAUUUCUGUCCGAUUUAGCUGCGAUCACGUUGCUGCUUUCAUCCCAAACAGACCUCACUGGAUGCGAAUCGCUUCACGUUCUAAAUAUCCCUGGGUGGAGGUUAAAUGGUGUGAAGGAAAGCUGGAGAUGAAGGUUCUUUCAUUCCAAUUUAAAGGCCAUUUGUUGUAGCGAAAUUUGGGAAAUAGCGGUUUUUGGAAAUAGUCAAAAAAUAUUUACACUGUUUGGGUAACACAAGAUACCAUUAUGUUGCACAAAAAUAAUU